Cervus elaphus (red deer) is the source of this 935-nucleotide long non-coding RNA. RefSeq lists it as uncharacterized. The transcript has 3 exons. Lineage: Eukaryota; Metazoa; Chordata; Mammalia; Artiodactyla; Cervidae. The record is from RefSeq and is a predicted model, not a curated record.
UCCACCCCGUGCAGGGACCCCUGGCAGAGCAAGGCUGGAGUCUCAGAGGAAGUGGGGCACACAGUCCCAGGUGGGCCGCGUGCCACUUCAGUGCCCAAGGUGCUUCACAAACCUCAUCAGGAGGCAGCACUGGCGGGAAACAGAGUCGGACUUAAAAAGGAAGAUCCAUUUAUGAAAGGCCAGGCCUCAAACGGAAAGAAUUUCCUGAAUUUCCCACUGGCCUCAGGGAGGAAGGAUCCGAGAGGAGGAAGGAUCCGAGAGGAGGAAGGAUCCGAGAGGAGGGAGGGAAGAGGCCCCACACCAGGCCCCUGCUUUUGAGAUCCUGUGAUUCCGAGACCCGACAGCCGACCCCUGAGGUGUGCGAGCAUCACAGCAGACAGGUAUAGCUUGUUACCAGGGGGCCCCAGCAUCGGGGUGUCAAUGGUGUGGGCAGCGUCCACUGUCUCGCUGAUGCCCAGGAGGCCUUAAGGAUCAGCAGAGGCCACUUUCCAGGAAUCUGGUGCCAGCGAUCCAGGGCAGCCAGGUGUGAGAAAGACACCGUCUCCUUGGAGGGUGAUGAACCUGGUGUUCUCCUGUCUCUGCAACGGGCACAUCUGGGUUCCAUGAAGCCAAAAAAUUAAGCCCAAAUUAAGGCCUCUGUGGCAGACAGGGUUCCAGGCCCAGGUGAGGGGAAGUGCUGUCCAGUACUGACUCCGGACACUGGUCAUUGUCGAAGUGCUGACCUUCGGGGCAACUCUGUGCCCGGGGCCACACAGCAAGCUCAUCUGAGACCCACCACGAUCUCUGAGGGACGGUUCCCCAGGCCAGCCAUGGGGAGAGACGGAAAAACCCCAGCCACUCUGCAGAACGCACAUGCGUGCGCGAGCCAGGCAGCGGGGUUGGGGGCCGAGGAGGGGCCCAGUGGAGCCGCCAGCCCCCUCGGCUCCGGUUCAGCA